Brassica napus (rape) is the source of this 4085-nucleotide RNA transcript. RefSeq lists it as uncharacterized. NCBI's taxonomy places the organism in Eukaryota, Viridiplantae, Streptophyta, Magnoliopsida, Brassicales, Brassicaceae. The transcript is spliced from 3 exons. The record is from RefSeq and is a predicted model, not a curated record.
UAUUUUUCUUAUAUAUUAGAUUUUUUCUUAUAUGUUAUAUUUUAAAUUUUUAAACAAGAUUUUAAAUUACAAAAAUAUAAGUUUUUCUUAAGCAUACGACUAAAAUGAUUGAAAUGAUAUGUAUCAAUUAGAUGGUUGAUAUGAAACCUUUCAAAACCAUAUGGAAGAUAAAUGUCAAAAUAGUUUAAUUGUAUAAACAAUAAUGUUCACUUUUUUCAAGAAUGUGUUCGGUGGAAAAUACAAGGUUUUUGUAUCAUAAUUUGUUUAAUGUCCAAUCCGAUCAAUCCAAAAUAUACUAAUUAUAGUUUAGUUCCACAAUUUUAAUAAAAAUUGAUUCAAUCCAUCGGAAAGAAAUUAUAUAAUAAUAACAAAAAAAAUAUUGUAUAUGUAUAAAUAAAAUGAUCAAAUAUAAAAAAAAAAUAUAAUAAAUAAAUUUACCUUGCGCAAGACGCAUGUCUUAUUCUAGUCGUAUAAUAAAACUCGGAAUUAUUCAGUCCUAGUUCAGUAGAGUCAAAACACCCCCCCCCCCCCCCAAAAAUGCGUCUAUAAUCAAGCCACUAUUUACUCACGGAUCUAUUUGGAAACUGUUGCAUAGGGUUCUCAGGCUUUUGAGCGACCUACCCAAUAUAGAAGUCUUAAAUCUUGUUUUUUUUAUUUUUUUUUGAAAUCUCCUCUUAAAUACUAUGGAUGGAAGUGCUCUAAAGUGUGUUUGUUUGUUAGUUAUUUGAUUUUUAUGGAGAACUAUUCUUCAAAUCAAUGGCACACGAAUUAACUACUAGUUACCAUCACGGAAGGUACUAUUGUCACACUCUAAAAAUCAGUACGAAGACAAGCAUUUUAAAAGCUAGGAAGAUGAAUCUAAGCCUAGAAACACGUGGCUCACAUCAGCUCUCACAUGAUUUCUUUUCCUUUUACUAUCAGAAGGGGUAAAAACGAGAGCAAACGAUUCCUUCUAUGCACAUUGAAGAAAGUAAAAGUGCAAACAACAUGAAAAAGAUAAAAUAACAGAAUAAAUAAAACACUUUUUCUUUUUCAAAUUUUCUGCAAAGACCAUCAAUAAUGACACAUUUGGAAUUUCAUUGGAGACUACGUCCUUAAGGUCCACAAAAUAUCCAUUCAAUGCACGCACUUUUGAGAAGAGAGACUGCUUCAAAAGAAUAAAAAGGACGGUUUGAUUCUCACUUGGAAACAGCUAUAAUAACGAGGCAACAUAAUUAUUAACUCAAGUUAUUUUUUCGAAUUCCCUAGUUCCAUGGCGACGUUGGAGAGAUUCAAGUUCCUAGCGACGCAUUGUGAAGUUCCACAGAGCCCGACACGAAGUCCAAGCCCUAGGACAAGUCCUUUGGUACAGUUUCGUCCUAAGAAGACAACCUUAAAGAUGCUUCUCAGUCUUAUACCGCCGAGCCGUCGAGAGCAGCCGCUGAUUCAUCAGGCUCGUUCAUUAGCAGCUGAUAAAGACGUAGCUGGACGCAAACUGAGAGACUUAUUCGUUUCUUCGUCUCCUGUAGAGGAAGAAGAAGUGAAGGAGAGACCCAAGGGGAAAACAAAAGAAGAAGUUCUUGCAGCCAAUGCAGCUAAGUUGAACGCACCUGCUAGUUCACAACCGGUUUGGUUGGGAAUCAGCAAGCGGCUUCUCCAGCGAGCUUGGCGUCCUAAGCUUGGUACCAUUCCUGAGUAAAUGUAUAACCCAAUUUUCUUGUCUUUCUUAUGUGACAUUGAAAACCAAUUUGGAAACCAUGAGCUUCCUAUAUGAACAAAAUAUAGUUCUGCUUUUAUCAAAUUUCGUAUCAUGGGAACAAAUCUUUGUUUUAAUUCCUAACAAAGAUAAACAAAUCAUUGACAAAAAAAAAGGUGAAGCUUUUGUGCUCUAUUUGCUUCCAAAAGGAUUACAAAGUCUUUGAGUUAUUCACGUUUAACUAAACUCUCUGCUUUCAUGAUAAGAUCAUAACAAGAAUCAUGAGAUCGUGUGUUCUCCACUUGUUUACCAUGUUCCAUAUUUGUUUAGUUGUGACAAUUAUUUACUUGCCAUCUUUUGUUUAUUUAAAUGAUCGAGUGUUUUAUUCAAGGGGAAUGAAAAAAAAAUUGAAGUAAAUGGUUUCUUAGAAUAUGAUUAACCCGGGGUUUUUAGGAUGUGGUUCUUAGCGGAAGUUAAAAAACUGUUUCUUAACUUUUAACUAAAAAAAAGUAAGAACUGGUUUUUAAAUAAGGACUUUAAGAACCGGUUCUUAGCUUUUUUUAGUUAAAAGUUAAGAAACAAUUUCUUAACUUCCGCUAAGAACCCCACUCUAAGAAUUCCGGGUUAAUCAUGGUCUCAAGUCUUUGGGAUCUAUCAUUUCAUAGCUUCGGCUUUCCUGGUGCAAACCAUAAACCUCAACAUUGAUGUUUUUGGCUUUUGUCAUUGAAUAUUUUAUGGAUCAUCUAAUAUAGUUUAAAAAGUCGAACAUCAUGUUUGUAGUUUCUCAAAUUUGAGAGUCAUAGCAAACAUUGGCAAAGAUUGUGUUGUGAACCAGAUGAAUAACAUGUUUUUGAAAUAUAUCUAGAGGAGAGUAGAAGAUGUAAGAAAAUAUUCAGCAUUUUCGUGAUCACACAUGAACCUUAAACAGAUAAACUCAAAAUACAAGGAUAAACAUAUUUGCACGCGGUGUUCGGAGUCAAUGGUCUCAUGGACACAUAGUUCUUGAUUUGGUUUUUGAUUGAAUCUAUUUUAUGGAUGACAAAAAAGGUGACCAAAACAAUAUUCCAUAAUAAAAAAAACAGAUUACCAGGCUACGACUUGUUGGUUAUACAGUGAUAAACAAGAUAUUAGUACUUGCUUCAAUUACAAAACUAACAUGCUCAUUACCUUAUGCACAAAGUUAAGUUAGAAGGCAAUAUGUAUAAUUAACCUUAAUAAAACCCCCUAAUAAAUAAAUAAAAUCUGUAAUGCAAGUAAGCCCAGAAUUAUAACUGUAAACGGUGAGGCCCAUGCUAAACCCGAGCUAUGAUCUCGUGAGAUUAGGCGGUGGGUUAAGAUCAACGGCUGUAGUGACAGUGUCAAACAAUCGGACGGUUGAUAUGCUUUAUCACUCGCAUAUAAAAAGAAAAUUCCUUCUCCGUUCUCUCUUUGCAGCAUAGCAUCCACAACAAAUAUCGAAAGCAAGAGAGAAGAUAUAUACAUAGAGAGACUAGAGAGAAGACGAUCAAUGGUGUUUCCUGGUGAGGGAGACCGGAAGCAUGAGAGACCGACCAAGAAGGCUCUCCACAAUUUCAGGUUCCCGCACUUGAAUUGGGGAACUCAGCAAACUAUGAGGUGCGUGAAGGUCGAAGAACCUCACGGUGGCUCCGGCGGCGAGGAAGGGAUCGAGGAGUUUAGGGAGAAGAUGAUGUCGGACAUCAGAACGGUGAGAGAAUCUAUAUUUAGACAACACAAAGAGGAGGAAGAGGACACGAACGAGAAAGAUGAAGCAGAACAGCCGAAGAAGGAGACGGAGACGGAGAGGGAGGUGUCUCCUCCGGAAGAGACGGCGGAGGUGAAGAGGUUGAACUUAAGAAAGAGAAGAGGAGACUGUGAGGAUUCGUUUAUAGGAUUAGGGUUUGGGUUUGUCGAGGAGGAGAAAGUGAAUACGUCGAUAAGGUGCAAGUUCAUCUUGUCGCUGACGAAGAAAGAGGUGGAAGAUGAUAUGAUUAAGAUGGGUAAAGCACCACUGCGACGACCCAAGAAACGUCCCAAAGCGCUUCAGAAAAAGAUCAAUAUGCUGCAUCCAGGUUUUUAUUUUAGUGAGGAAGUUACUGAAGAUAUCUACCAUGUCUCGGAUGCCGCCGAGAAGGGGAAGAGAUGAUGGUGACGAUGAUGAUGGAUGGUUUGAGGUUUUUUUUUUUUUGGCUGACUUGUGGAGUCUCUUGAAGUUGGAGUGUGAUCAUAUGAUUGAUAUCAGAAAGUUGAAGCCUAAGAUGCUUUUCUCAGUUUUGUUUUUUAGCUUUUCUUUUGUUAGAAUUUGAUUUUGGGAGAAGUAUGUAGGUUCUGAUGUAGUUUGAAUAUUCUCUUUUUUUUUCAGUAAAUCAGCAAACGAACAACCUAAAAUAGAGGAUUUAACAUUUUCACCAAA